RNAcentral lists this ribosomal RNA (491 nucleotides) under uncultured bacterium. Its description in RNAcentral is "partial 16S ribosomal RNA". It matches the Rfam family "Bacterial small subunit ribosomal RNA", at positions 29 to 507 of the family's 1533-position model. The record is from RNAcentral.
AGUGAACGCUGGCGGUAGGCCUAACACAUGCCAGUCGAACGGCAGCACAGUAAGAGCUUGCUCUUACGGGUGGCGAGUGGCGGACGGGUGAGGAAUACAUCGGAAUCUACUUUUUCGUGGGGGAUAACGUAGGGAAACUUACGCUAAUACCGCAUACGACCUACGGGUGAAAGCAGGGGAUCUUCGGACCUUGCGCGAUUGAAUGAGCCGAUGUCGGAUUAGCUAGUUGGCGGGGUAAAGGCCCACCAAGGCGACGAUCCGUAGCUGGUCUGAGAGGAUGAUCAGCCACACUGGAACUGAGACACGGUCCAGACUCCUACGGGAGGCAGCAGUGGGGAAUAUUGGACAAUGGGCGCAAGCCUGAUCCAGCCAUACCGCGUGGGUGAAGAAGGCCUUCGGGUUGUAAAGCCCUUUUGUUGGGAAGAAAAGCAGCAGGUUAAUACCCCGCUGUUCUGACGGUACCCAAAGAAUAAGCACCGGCUAACUUCGUG